GGCAAUGCAUGGAGAGUUUGAGA
RNAcentral lists this unclassified non-coding RNA (23 nucleotides) under Mus musculus (house mouse). RNAcentral's name for it is "oocyte_clustered_small_RNA7117". The record is from RNAcentral. Lineage: Eukaryota; Metazoa; Chordata; Mammalia; Rodentia; Muridae.